CCAAAAUACCCGACCCGAUCCCACCUUGUUUAUUCUUCACGUUGAAAUCCAAGAAAAUCGGGGAUGAAAUCCAGUAAGCCAACAUCUUCUUUCCCAUAAAUCAAGCAACAAAUCAUGGUUGAAAACCCAAAAAUCAGGCCAACAGUAAAAUCCCAUCACCAUCGCCGUUUUCUCUUUCCCCCCAGAGCUCCCCCAUGCCUUUUACUGUUGAUCUCGCAAAGGAGCAAAAAAUAAUAAUUUCAAACUCUUUCUUUCAAAAAUCCAAUGGAUUUCCCACAAAAUUUUCUAUGUUCUUCCCCUAUAAAUAGUUCCCAUUCUCAAGGGAUUUGGAGAGAGGAUCAGGAGUUGAGUUUUGAAGCGAUAAUCACUUUACACUAGAAAGUUUCAAGUGAAUCUCUAAAAUAUAGUUUGCAGCUGGUUUUGAACUUUUUGGCUGUCUAUUUGUACUUGAAUCUUGUGGUAGAAGAAUCAUUGCUCUCAAGCUCAUUGCCGUCUCGAGUUCGCUACUCCAGAGAAGGAGCCAUGGAGGCUUCAAUUUCUUUACCGAGUCAGCCCCAUUCUUACUCAAACCAUUGGAAGCAGAAUUACAGAUUGAGCACAGGUUACUGGUCCAGGACACCAAGAAAAGGGCUGAUAUGCAGCCUGUAUACAUUCAUCAUACAAUGGUAUACAAGUUCCGCCCAACGACUGCUAAGAAAAAACAAAGAUACAUGUUGGAGAAACCAAAGGGGUUUAUAAAAAGUCUAUAUAUGGGUUGAUAUACAUGAAACGGUACUGAUUUGCGAUCUGUAUACACUGAUAUACGGCUUGUGUAUACAAAAACGGGUUUUGGAUUUAACCCCAAAAGUAGCAGCAAAUUCGGCCUAAGAAAGGCCCAAAUUCAACUUCUCUCCCAUACUCUUAAAGUAUUUGAUUGUGAUUGUUCAUCUUUGUUGUUUAUUAACUCUAACCUUUAUUUUGUUUUGGAUUAACUUACUUAAAUCCCCAA
Non-coding RNA from Solanum lycopersicum (tomato), 988 nucleotides. The record is from RefSeq and is a predicted model, not a curated record. NCBI's taxonomy places the organism in Eukaryota, Viridiplantae, Streptophyta, Magnoliopsida, Solanales, Solanaceae.